RNAcentral lists this ribosomal RNA (451 nucleotides) under Plesiomonas shigelloides. RNAcentral's name for it is "bacterial SSU rRNA". It matches the Rfam family "Bacterial small subunit ribosomal RNA", at positions 387 to 830 of the family's 1533-position model. The record is from RNAcentral. Lineage: Bacteria; Pseudomonadati; Pseudomonadota; Gammaproteobacteria; Enterobacterales; Enterobacteriaceae.
UGCGUCCAUUGCGGUUGUAUGGAGAAGGCGUUCGGGUUGUAAAGCACUGUCAGCGGGGAGGAAGGGGCACUAGUGAAUACCUAGUGGCAUUGACGGUACUCGCAGAAGAAGCACCUGCUAACUCCGUGCCAGCAGCCGCAGUAAUACGGAGGGUGCAAGCGUUAAUCGGAAUUACUGGGCGUAAAGCGCACGCAUGCGGUUUGUUAAGUCAGAUGUGAAAUCCCCGAGCUCAACUUGGGAACUGCAUUUGAAACUGGCAAGCUAGAGUCUUGUAGAGGGGGGUAGAAUUCCAGGUGUAGCGGUGAAAUGCGUCGAGAUCUGGAGGAAUACCGGUGGCGAAGGCGGCCCCCUGGACAAAGACUGACGCUCACGUGCGAAAGCGUGGGGAGCAAACAGGAUUAGAUACCCUGGUCGUCCAAGCUGCAAACGAUGUCGAUUUGGCGGUUGUGCC